UAGAAAAUCCGAGUGCUUACACUCAUCCCGCCAACCAUAUCCAUCCAUCCAGGAUCUGUGCCAACCACGAACAGGGUACCCCAGGUUCUGGAGGUGCAAUCCUCAGACACCAAGAUUCUCAUAGUCCCGGAGCUAUGCCGGGCCUGCAGGAUGACUCAGCAGGUAGAGUCACUUGUCAACAAACCCAAAGACUCAAGUUUGACCCCACCCCCAUCCAGGACCAAAGGAGAGAAAUGACUCCUGCAAAGCUGUCCUGUGACAGCCACAGGCUUGCAUCUGCUCACACAUGAAUGCAUACCUGUGCAUAUGCACAUACUCAAUAAAAAUGUAACAAAA
Molecule: long non-coding RNA, 336 nt
Filed under: Mus pahari (shrew mouse)
Lineage: Eukaryota; Metazoa; Chordata; Mammalia; Rodentia; Muridae
Description: predicted gene, 37640 (MGP_PahariEiJ_G0003436.1)
Source: RNAcentral